RNAcentral lists this ribosomal RNA (581 nucleotides) under uncultured fungus. Its description in RNAcentral is "eukaryotic LSU rRNA". The stretch from base 210 to 363 matches the Rfam family "5.8S ribosomal RNA". The record is from RNAcentral. Lineage: Eukaryota; Fungi.
CUUGGUCAUUUAGAGGAAGUAAAAGUCGUAACAAGGUUUCCGUAGGUGAACCUGCGGAAGGAUCAUUACCUAGAGUUGUAGGCUUUGCCUGCUAUCUCUUACCCAUGUCUUUUGAGUACCUUACGUUUCCUCGGUGGGUUCGCCCACCGAUUGGACAAACUUAAACCCUUUGCAGUUGAAAUCAGCGUCUGAAAAAACUUAAUAGUUACAACUUUCAACAACGGAUCUCUUGGUUCUGGCAUCGAUGAAGAACGCAGCGAAAUGCGAUAAGUAGUGUGAAUUGCAGAAUUCAGUGAAUCAUCGAAUCUUUGAACGCACAUUGCGCCCCUUGGUAUUCCAUGGGGCAUGCCUGUUCGAGCGUCAUUUGUACCUUCAAGCUCUGCUUGGUGUUGGGUGUUUGUCUCGCCUCUGCGCGCAGACUCGCCUCAAAACAAUUGGCAGCCGGCGUAUUGAUUUCGGAGCGCAGUACAUCUCGCGCUUUGCACUCAUAACGACGACGAUCCAAAAGUACAUUUUUACACUCUUGACCUCGGAUCAGGUAGGGAUACCCGCUGAACUUAAGCAUAUCAAUAAGCGGAGGA